GCUUUGGCUUGCCCUCCAUGGGCUGCACCCACUGUCCAACCAGUCCCAAUGAGAUGAACCAGGUACCUCAUUUGGAAAUGCAGAAAUCACCCAUCUUCUGUGUUGACCAUGCUGGGAGCUGCAGACUGCUGUUCCUAUUCAGCCAUCUUGGAACUGGCUCCCUACAUUUUUUUCUUUAUGCAACUGAAUGCUUAUGCUUACUCUAAGAUGAGAUAUCAUAGGCCAGUGUCUCCUUGAUUCUCUCCACUAAGAAUAACUAUAACUGCUGAAAAUAAUGCAAGAAGCACUCAACAAGAACUCUAAAGCAUAUAAAGAGAAAGGCAUACUGGUGAGGGAACCCAGAACCGGAAGAGCAAUCUACUGGCAGGGAAAACUUCAGUCCCCCUACCCCACCCAACAAAGGAAAGCAAUCCAGGCUUAAUUUCUUCCAGCCCUCAUCUUAACAGCAGAGAGC
This 454-nucleotide long non-coding RNA is filed under the name Homo sapiens (human). Its description in RNAcentral is "HSALNT0165655". The record is from RNAcentral. Lineage: Eukaryota; Metazoa; Chordata; Mammalia; Primates; Hominidae.